Molecule: transfer RNA, 63 nt
Filed under: Oxycarenus lugubris
Lineage: Eukaryota; Metazoa; Arthropoda; Insecta; Hemiptera; Oxycarenidae
Also listed under: 1 other name
Description: tRNA-Asp
Rfam family: tRNA
About the family: Transfer RNA (tRNA) molecules are approximately 80 nucleotides in length. Their secondary structure includes four short double-helical elements and three loops (D, anti-codon, and T loops). Further hydrogen bonds mediate the characteristic L-shaped molecular structure. tRNAs have two regions of fundamental functional importance: the anti-codon, which is responsible for specific mRNA codon recognition, and the 3' end, to which the tRNAs corresponding amino acid is attached (by aminoacyl-tRNA synthetases). tRNAs cope with the degeneracy of the genetic code in two manners: having more than one tRNA (with a specific anti-codon) for a particular amino acid; and 'wobble' base-pairing, i.e. permitting non-standard base-pairing at the 3rd anti-codon position.
Source: RNAcentral
GAAAAAUUAGUUUAAUUUAAAACAUUAGCUUGUCAAGCUAAAAAUAUUAGUAAAUAUUUUUCU